Long non-coding RNA from Dermacentor silvarum, 2160 nucleotides. RefSeq lists it as uncharacterized. NCBI's taxonomy places the organism in Eukaryota, Metazoa, Arthropoda, Arachnida, Ixodida, Ixodidae. The record is from RefSeq and is a predicted model, not a curated record. The transcript has 2 exons.
CUAAAAACUAGGGAGAGUAUCGCAGGAGUGAAGGGGCCGAUUUACUCUUCAAGGCAUCGUUUUACUCUCGCAAAAUGCCGGGGAGAGUGAAACGCAUUGUUCACUCUAUCCGCAUCGAGAGAGUGAAAUGUUAUAUCUACUCUGCCGAUCUGAGAGAGAGUGGAAUGCCUGUUCCACUCUCGCGGCAACAGAGAGCAAAACGUUGCAUAUACUGCUGCUUAAACUGCAUGAGGCUGGUCGGGAACAUGGCGAUGUAUCGCUCACACAGGCAGAGCAAAGAGCGCAUCGUUUUUCUUGUAAGAGAAGAGGCAGCCAGCGCGCAAACUGGUUUGGAGAUCAGCGCACUACUUUUUGUUUCGGAGUCGCCCCACAGCGCGCCCGCACAACAUCGCGGAGCAGCACAGCGCCGGAGAAAGGCGAUCCGUUCAGCGGGCAGGCCCGGGCAGGCGGCGGGCGCGAAGGCCAUCCAAGAAAACUCUUGUGUCAGCCACGUUUCACUGCCGCGAGAAGAGGACAGUUGUUCGUUGUUCGUUUAAUUGAACAACAAAUACUCCACGGCACCCGCUUUAUAAAACUCAAGAAGGCAGCUGCAAGGAGAAAAUCUUGUCAAGGAGCCAGCUCAGCACGACUCCACAUGGUGCAGAGGAGCGCACUCCAAAGCAUCAAAAUGUGUUGCCAUGCAAUUUGGAUGAGAAAACUAAAAUGUGGGUAUACUGGGUGUACCAUGUAACUAAAUGGCAUGAAAACUUUCAAAAGACAGUACGUCACACAAAGAUGAAAGUUUCAAAUGUUUUUUACAUGCGCAUGUGACUUUGUCAGAUUGCUUUCGCAUCUGCAUUCGGCAGACCAUAAGGUAUUUUAACAAGUGCCGCAAUGAACACCAAUUAGUUAUUAGGGCAGCAAUGUACUCGCAUUUGACACUGCACUAAUGUAGCAGGAGAUGGUGCAUACGCUUUAGCCUGCAUCACGACCAAGUAGCACACGGAAUUAUGGAAGCAUUCAGCAGAAAAAAAAUCGCAAUGCAAGAUGUACCAUCCAGCCUCCAUUGUCAUCAUUGAUACCAAAAUGGCACUGCUAGAAUGAAGAUAAAUGUGUGAAGUGGUGUUCUUUGGUGGUGUGGCCUUUUUCUUUUCUUUGCUUCCUUGCAUUGCUCCUUUGUGUUUGGUUACGAACAUGUGCCAUGUAUUAGCAAUGAAACGGAAAAGAUUGAUUUACAAGCAAAAAUCCCCACUUCUCUGAUCAGAUCAUUAGAAUAUGCAUCUGUACGAAAUGAACAAACUAUCACGUGAUGUCUUAUGAGAAAGAAAAUUAUACAAUAGGCAACAAAAGUACCACAACAGUUGUGAAAUGCGUCAGUGCGCUGUGGCAAUAGCUGUCUACGAAAUACAGUGCGUGGGAAAGCGCGAUGGCACGAUCCCGAGAGCUCCAGGAAAUUACUUGCAUGAGGACGCCAAGAGUGAAGUCAAGCUUUCUGCCAAAAGACUAUCAGCUUUCGAUCCAACCCAAUCGGAGCAAUGAUACGCCACUGUAGUGCCUUGACACCGAGCGGAGAGAGUGUUGGACAACCACGGCAAGAUGCGCGUUUAGAAAAAAGGGGGUGCAGCCCAUGCAUGAAUAACUAUGUGAAAUAUUAUAACCAAAACUAGACGGUGCGGCUUUACACGAAAAUAUACAACACAUUUCUAAAUAUACUGUAUACUCUCAGUCAGGAGCAUCCAUACGCUUCAUAGGAUGUUAUCAAACGAGCUGCUGUCUUGAAAGUAAUUUGCGCAUGAAAAAACUUUUCCUGCGCAAAUUACAUUACCAGCCUCAUGCUUACCAGCUUAUCUGAUAACGUACGGUAUAUAAGUACACGAGUUUAGUGCUUGAAAUGCGUUUUCUGACCAGUAAUGUGGUGCAUAUUUCUCUUCAAUUGUAGUGCCAAUACUUCGCGAGUUUGCGCAUGUUUGUUAUUUGUUUGAUUUUACAUUGUAUACUUUCAUUUUUUUAAAUGUUGCCAAUUGAACAUAAAAAAUAUUUCUCACUGCAUUAGCGAUGAAAUGUUAAAGAAAAUGUUUAUGUAUUAUUGCAAGAUGUGUCGUAAAGUUCAUGAAAAUCCGUGUAAUCGGAUUUUAAGUGUAUCUGUAUGUUUUUCGAAAUUUGACUCAGUUUGCCUUGUGA